RNAcentral lists this small RNA (190 nucleotides) under Marmota monax (woodchuck). Lineage: Eukaryota; Metazoa; Chordata; Mammalia; Rodentia; Sciuridae. The record is from RNAcentral.
UGGAUCUCUUAUGUGAAAAUUAGGGCACUGACUGAAAGAUGAUAGGAAACCAAAUAGUGGAAUGAGGAUAUAUUAAAUAAUUUAAAUAAAUCAGAUAACCAUGAAUUUGUGUGUGUGUGUGUGUGUGUGUGUGUGUGUGUGUACUGGGGAUUAAACUCAGGGGCACUAGACCACUGAGCCAUAUCUCCAA